CCAUAACCAGGACAUUUCACGCUCCUCUCCCAUAAAGCUGUUUAGAGCAAAUUAAAUUUCUCCCUAACCAGGCUGUAACAGUUCAUGUUAGAUGUGGAUCUAAAUGUUAAUUGCAGUGACAAUAACAGGUCUGAUCCUGCAAUCCUUAUUUGAGUAAAACCUCCCACAGAAGCCAAAGGAAUUUUGCCCCAGAGAAGGCAGCUGGAUGCAGUCCCACAUUUCCAGUCUCUUGAAGAUGCCAGAAGGGAUGCUUGAAGGUCCUGUGCUGGCUGGGAGAACUGCCUGGAGAAACAGCUGCUCUUGUCCUUUGCACCCUUGGGUGAUGCCAGCACCCUUUAGCCCGGGCUCCUGAGGAAGGACAGCUGAUAAGGAAGGAGAGAGAGACACAACAAGAUUUUGGGAGACAAGUCAGAGAUCCUGGAGCCUGGAAGUGGAGUUAGUCCCUGAACAGAGCCUUGCCAAGACUCUCAGCAUCCCUCAGACACAUCCAAACCCCUCCAGCUGCUGAGAGGGGCUCCUGCUCCUCGGGGAGACCCUGCAUGCAGGAACCAGCAAAGCUCCAGGACAAGCCACUUCUGUCAGUGCUGCAGAUUCAAACUGCCUUGUUUUGUUUCCCAGCAGCAUUUAACAGGCUGCUGAUGUUUGUUUAUGAAGUGAGAUGCACAUGAUUUAUUUGAUCUGCUGGAGAGCUGCAUUCCCACGCCAAGGACAGGCAGAGACGUUGCAUUCUCCCCUCUUUUGGGGACUGCUGAGAUCAAAUCCUCCCUUGCACGGGCAGAGCUGCACUCUCAGCUGCUUCAAAACUGGACAUUAAAUGCUUAUUAGAA
Molecule: long non-coding RNA, 827 nt
Organism: Poecile atricapillus (Black-capped chickadee)
Lineage: Eukaryota; Metazoa; Chordata; Aves; Passeriformes; Paridae
Exons: 3
Source: RefSeq, a predicted model, not a curated record